Long non-coding RNA from Helianthus annuus (common sunflower), 496 nucleotides. RefSeq lists it as uncharacterized. Lineage: Eukaryota; Viridiplantae; Streptophyta; Magnoliopsida; Asterales; Asteraceae. The transcript is spliced from 3 exons. The record is from RefSeq and is a predicted model, not a curated record.
UGUGGGCCCCACUUUUCUUUCAACUUGUUACCAAUAAUAUCUAGAUAUUUACUUCAUGUUGCAACUUGAUACAAGUGGUGAAAUGUGAUCAUUGUAGCAACUAGUUACCUUCUUUUUCUAACCCUUUCAUUCAUGCAUUUCACCUCCUAUCUUCACAACACCAAAAGCUCCCAACAACACCCCAUUUUCGGUCAAGAACACCCCUCCCCCAUCUUCAUUUUCAAGCAACUUUCAUGAUGAUCAAGAUGCAUUUUCAUGGAACUUAGGAGGAUCUAAGACAACCACAAGUUGAAGCAAGCAUUUCCAUUCAUCUAAGAGCUUUCAACCAUCAAAUCUUCAUCUUCUUUGCUUCUUAUUUUCACCUAGAUCAUCCCUAGCCAAGAGCUAGAAGUGGUGAUACUAUUCAGGACGACCGUACGUCAGAUCACAGUUACUUACCAUUCACGGACGCAAUUCUGAAAUUAGUGGACCAUGCAGACAUUUCAGUCAAGGAAAG